UUUCCGUAGGUGAACCUGCGGAAGGAUCAUUAUUGUAUAACCCGGGUGCGAGGGCUGUCGCUGACCCGAAAGUUCGUUCACGCCAGAGUGCCCUCACACUCAUCCAUCUCACCCCUAUGUGCACCACCGCGUGGGUCCCCCUUUGGCUUGUUCGGUGCGGGGGUUACGUUUUCUCACAGACUUUGUAUGCAGUGAAGAAAGUAUGUUUUGUGUGUGCGAUCACGCAAUCAAUACAACUUUCAACAACGGAUCUCUUGGUUCUG
RNAcentral lists this unclassified non-coding RNA (263 nucleotides) under plant metagenome. Its description in RNAcentral is "partial contains small subunit ribosomal RNA, internal transcribed spacer 1, and 5.8S ribosomal RNA". The record is from RNAcentral.